GACGAACGCUGGCGGCGUGCUUAACACAUGCAAGUCGAACGGAAAGGCCCUGCUUUUGUGCUGUUCUCGAGUGGCGAACGGGUGAGUAACACGUGAGUACCCUGCCCUUGACUUUGGGAUACCUUCAGGAAACUGGGGCUAUUACCCGAUAGAAGCUCCUGCUACAUGGUGGGGGUUGGAAACUUUCGGCGGUUGGGUAUGGACGCGCGGCUUAUCCUCGUUGUUGUGGGGUAGUGGCUUCCCAAGGCUUUGACGGGUAGGCUGCCUGAGAGGGGGAACGCGGACAUUGGGACUGAGGGAGGCACCAGACGGGAACGGGAGGCAGUGGGGGGGAAUAUGGCCCAGUGGGGGCAAGUGUGAUGAAGCAACCCUGGGUUCGGGAUGACGGCCUUCGGGUUGAGAACCGCUUUCGCCUGUGACGAAGCGUGAGUGACGGUACUGGGUAAAGAAGCACCGGCUAACUACGUG
Molecule: ribosomal RNA, 468 nt
Filed under: uncultured bacterium
Lineage: Bacteria
Description: partial 16S ribosomal RNA
Rfam family: Bacterial small subunit ribosomal RNA
Source: RNAcentral